UAACGGCUGCCACAAUAGCUUCAACUUUAACACCGGGAUCUUUCUCAACAAUAUGUCGGACUAAUGUGCUAAUCAUCCUUCCACUGACAUGUUUGUGGUCUCGACUCAAUCCCGUAAACAAACAAGUGUGAGGACCCUCAUAUUUUGUGAUUUGAAAAUAUCCAUAUUUUUUCAACAAUACAGCACGAAGCCUCCAUUUACAAUG
RNAcentral lists this long non-coding RNA (205 nucleotides) under Elaeis guineensis (African oil palm). Its description in RNAcentral is "long non-coding RNA (EGUI_LNC077715)". Lineage: Eukaryota; Viridiplantae; Streptophyta; Magnoliopsida; Arecales; Arecaceae. The record is from RNAcentral.